Molecule: long non-coding RNA, 224 nt
Filed under: Homo sapiens (human)
Lineage: Eukaryota; Metazoa; Chordata; Mammalia; Primates; Hominidae
Description: LNC_000097
Source: RNAcentral
GUUCCACUGGGUAAGAUGAAGACACUCUCCCAUUCGUAGCAGCAGCUUCUUGAUAGAGAAUCAGUUUCUGAGUCAUACCAUUUAAAAGAUUCAAACACUCCCUUGAAAUGGCUGUCCAAUUGUGGGGAUGUCCACCUGGUUGGCUGAGGCUGAAAACUUCUUGUCUUCGUGAAGGAGAAUAUUGAGAAAGCAACAUCAGGUCCUGCAAGGCUAAAUACUAACAG